AACGGAUACAAAUCCCAUAGAUCGGUCUAUAGCACAUUUAUUGUUUCACAGGCCCUCAGAUCCAUCUUUGAUGCCUGUCAAUGAUGGUUUGUCACUAAAGUCACAUGCCAUGGUAAGCUUUUUAUUCUUUGUUCGCAUGCAAUAUGUCACAACCAGCUACUCUUUUUGAUGCCUUAAUGAAAGAAAAUUGGCAGGUUCAUGGGUCUGUAACGAGUCCAUCCAUGAUGGCUAAGGAGCAAGUUUGCCAGGAUGAAACUGCCAGUGUUUCAGAUAAAAGUUUGUUAGUGAGUGGCCAUAAACAAUAAAUACUAACAUGGCUCAAUUAUUGUAGAAUGUCUAUUUUUUGGAUUACUGCACAUCAUGACGUACAGUAACUUUUUCAUGUGGUUCCAGCAUAGAUAACAUUUCAAUUCUAUGUUUGGAUCUCAUCGUUUCUCAGAUGUUUUGUAUAUCCUUGUAAUGGUUUAACCCGAUAACACUCUUUUAACUAUCAUAUUGCUAGGAUUUUUGUUUGUUGCUCUGAUCAUGUCAGAUUGUAAAAACCAUUCAUUGGUGUUCGAGUUUAUGACAAUUAUAUACAUUUUGCCUUAUUUUAAGUUUUGAUUUAUAGAUAAAAACAUACUACUUUCCCUGCCUGUCUUUUGAUUUAACUGCAGAAUCUAGGAUUAGAAUCGACCCCGCCCUUACCCAUCCAUUGGGACCCUACAUUAAGGUUUAGAAGAAAUAGAUGUAUUGCUUUCUUGUCCAUUGUGUCAAAGGUAGACUUCUGCUUUAUUUGUUGUAUGCUUAGUGACCCUAACAGUUGAAUUCGCAAACCAGCAUGUCAUAGGACGAGGUUACAUCUUUGCAUUUGUUAAUGCAGUGUUGUUUCAAUGAGUAUUGGUUAGUGGUCAGAUGAUCAUGCAAGGUUGAGUUUUUCCAGAAUUCAUUUGUAUGUUGCGUUUUCUGUUAAUUUGUGCAUUCUAUUUUUGGUUCUUUGUAUAGUUUAAUUAAAAAACAGAUAAUCUCUGCUGUCCAAUUUUUUUAAUUAUUCUACUAAUAAUUUAAUCAAUAAUUGUUUUGGUUCAUGUUGGUAGCUAUGAAUUAAUUCAGCCGAAAUGAAAUGGAAUAUUGUUAAUGUUACAGGAUCGAGGAAAAAGGAUCUUGUUGAAAGGAGAGAUUAUGCCAUGAAAGAAGCAAGGAGUUCAAAUCCAUUUCAAAGAAACAGCCAGUCUUCUGAUUUCUAUUUUUCCUUUUUUAAGGAAAUUUU
RNAcentral lists this unclassified non-coding RNA (1249 nucleotides) under Hevea brasiliensis (rubber tree). Lineage: Eukaryota; Viridiplantae; Streptophyta; Magnoliopsida; Malpighiales; Euphorbiaceae. The record is from RNAcentral.